GAUGAACGCUAGCGGCAGGCUUAAUACAUGCAAGUCGAGGGGCAGCACGGGUAGCAAUACCUGGUGGCGACCGGCAAACGGGUGCGGAACACGUACGCAACUUUCCCAAAACUGGUGAAUAGCCCUCCGAAAGGAGGAUUAAUACACCGUAACAUAAUGAAGUGGCAUCACUUUAUUAUUAUAGCUCCGGCGGUUUUGGAUGGGCGUGCGCCUGAUUAGGUAGUUGGCGGGUAACGGCCCACCAAGCCUUCGAUCAGUAACUGGUGUGAGAGCACGACCAGUCACACGGGCACUGAGACACGGGCCCGACUCCUACGGGAGGCAGCAGUAAGGAAUAUUGGACAAUGGGCGAAAGACCUGAUCCAGCAAUGCCGCGUGAGUGAUGAAGGCCCUAGGGUUGUAAAGCUCUUUUAACCUAGGGAUGAUAAUAGACAGUACCU
This 440-nucleotide ribosomal RNA is filed under the name uncultured bacterium. RNAcentral's name for it is "bacterial SSU rRNA". It matches the Rfam family "Bacterial small subunit ribosomal RNA", at positions 28 to 480 of the family's 1533-position model. The record is from RNAcentral.